RNAcentral lists this long non-coding RNA (196 nucleotides) under Mustela putorius furo (domestic ferret). Its description in RNAcentral is "lncRNA (ENSMPUG00000031014.1)". The record is from RNAcentral. Lineage: Eukaryota; Metazoa; Chordata; Mammalia; Carnivora; Mustelidae.
AAGCAGGCUCCCUGCUGAGCAAGGAGCCUGAUGCGGGACUCAAUCCAAGGACCCUGGGAUCAUGACCUAAGCUGAAGGCAGAUACUUAAUCAACUAAGCCACCCAGGCAUCCCUGGACAGCAGUUUUAUAAAAGGUCCUCCUUGAUGUCUCCCAAAUAUGAAGAACUUCAGAGGACCUCACUGUUGCCAUCACUGA